This is a long non-coding RNA of Cyanistes caeruleus (blue tit), 1623 nucleotides long. RefSeq lists it as uncharacterized. Lineage: Eukaryota; Metazoa; Chordata; Aves; Passeriformes; Paridae. The record is from RefSeq and is a predicted model, not a curated record.
CGUCCAGUUACCUCUUCAAAGCUGUAAGCAAGAAAGAUUUCCCAGGCUUGCCAUCUUUUAAAUGUGGAUUUCACAGAGGCGGAUCCAGCUUAUAAAGGGUUUAAUAGGUUGUCAGUUGUCAGAGCUAGCCAGCUAUUGGUUUUUGCCAGCAACAGAGGAAGAUCUUACUAGCUUCUUUCAGAAAGAUCAUUUCCGUGGGUGGCUUCUUCCCUCCUCACCAAAUAUCAACUAACGCAAAACCAGCGCAGAUCACCAUCACAUAAAACUGAAGACAGAGAAGGAAUAUUGGUCAUAGAAUUUGUCUGUUGCAGAGAUGAGACAAUCUGUCUUAUGGCUAACAGUCCCAAAAGAAUAUGGUGGUUGUAGAAAAUAAUGAGCAUGAAGGAAGAAGCAUAUAAACAAUCCUACUCCCUGCAAAUGUGUCCUGAGUCAUCCCUUCGUGGGACAGCCAGUGAACAAAGCAGAACACCAAGGAGACAUAAGGAAGUCUUGGAGAUUUGUGUUUUUCACGUGUUCCUCAGGAGAUAUUUUUGAAAGACCUUCAAACCUUUGGAUCAAGAAAGUACUGCAGAAAGAGAAGUCCUGGACUGCUAACAAGAAACAAAGAGUUUGUACACUUAGGAUUUAGAAUUAAACAGGAUUCUCAAUGCAUGGUUAUUACUUACUGAGCUAGUUCCAGUAAAAAGCUUAGUAUUUCAUUGUAUAGAAUGUCAUCCUUUAAUUAAAGGCCAUUUAAGCCAGAUUUUCUUGUAACCAAAUCAGAUCCUUAAAAUACUUGAAUAAAUUGUAUUUUACAGUUAUGUUUAACUGAAAACUGAGAAAAAAAUAUUGCUUUCAGUACCAACUGAAAUAUUCAUCUGUCAUUUUCUAUGUUAUCACAUUACAGAAUACUGAUACCCAAACUACUGCAAUGACCAAACUAUUUUAUUAUAUUUUGGCAAUGGAAGCACAAAUUCUUUUCUUAUAAAAUAUAGUCUGAAAUUAAAUAAUUAAGGUUUCUGGUUGCAAAAGAAGUACAAUAAAGGAAAUGAGUGAGUUGACAAUUUGCUUUAGUCAAUAUUCUACAAAAUAUAAUUGUGUAUGACCAACUUUUAGUCAACAAAACUAUUGGAUUUAUUUAAUUUUACACUGUAGCUCUUUGUUUCAUGCUGCUAGUAUACCUCUGGAUGCUGAAAAAAUCAUUUAAUCACAUUUGACUCUGGGGAAGAAACCUGAAGACAGAAAAUUUGUGAGAAACUGCCAGAGUUUAUCUAAUUUCAUCUUGAAUUUACAUACUCUAGGAUUUUGUCCACUGGGUCAUAUUGCAAAAAAAAGCCAUGAAUACCAAUGCAUAACAGCAUGCUGCACUGUAAGGGUUUUAUGUUUUUUAAAUAAUCUACCUCUUUCAGUUUCUCCUCCUGAAGAAACAAUGAUUUUCACUCCUUACUGAUAUUUUAUUGAAAGACUGAAAAGGAAUAGGAUCCACAUUCCUUCUGGAUUAAAUAAUCUACUAAAUUUGCAAUCUGAUAUUCAAAAGAAAAAAUUAGAGCUGAUCAGUUAAAGUGGGUCUUUAUUAUAUCCCUUAAAAUACCUUGAUAUUUUAAGGGAUAUGCAAGACCUCCUUAAUUUCUAAGGGAAUUUUGA